This is a long non-coding RNA of Phyllostomus discolor (pale spear-nosed bat), 6491 nucleotides long. RefSeq lists it as uncharacterized. The record is from RefSeq and is a predicted model, not a curated record. NCBI's taxonomy places the organism in Eukaryota, Metazoa, Chordata, Mammalia, Chiroptera, Phyllostomidae. The transcript is spliced from 2 exons.
AUGUAAGCUAAUGGCAAAUUCUAUCAGCUUUCACAUUUUUGACUGUAUAUAUUAAUUACUAAGGUACACUAGCAUUUUGGUAAUAGGAGAAAUGUUGCCUUUUACAAUUAAAUAGUGAUUUCUAGCUUUUAGAAAUUUUUAAUGAAACAAUAACAAUAGCUGAAUUACUUGUCAGGAGUACUUUUGUUUAAACUAUAAAAGUAAAAAUACUUUUCAAUACUAAAUUAUAUAUAUACUUUUUGGACUUCAGGGAAAGACCAUGUCUUAUAUAUCUUUUUAUCUGUUUAGCAUCUACCAUGAUGCUUCUCACAUAUCAAAUUGUCAUUUACACCUGUGUUGAAUGAAAUCAUGAGUGACUUGAAAUCUUUUUAAAAUAAGGCACAUGCUUUAACUUUUUGUUUGAGUUGAGGGAUUCUUGAUUGGUGCUUGAAUUAUCUUUAAUUUACAUAUUGUGGAAUUUUAAGUGACUGACAGGUGGGUUUAGUAGGCUCUAGUUCAGUAAAUAUUUUUUGAAUGGGGAUUAGGGAAGAUAGUAAAUGAAAAUAUAGUAAAUUAAGAGUGUGUGUUCUGGAGUCAGAUGUGAUUUCAGUCCCUGGCUCUCUCACUCACAAGCUGUGGUUAAUUUCUUAACUUCUCAGCCAUAAAUGUGGUUGUUGUGAGGAUUAAAUAAUGCUAAUGAAUAUUAGUUUUUACAAUUGUCAUCAUCAGUGUUUUCAUAAUCACCAUUAAAGUUCUAAAAUGUCUUUAUAACGGAUCUGUAAUAUCCUUUGCAGUGUGUUCUUCCUUCCCCAGUCAGCAUAUUGUGUGAUUUUGUUUUAUAUCACAGUGAUAAAAGGAUUCUUGCACUUUUUCCAGCAGUAACUGGGCUGUUUUUAGUCUAAAAGAUCUGAGAAGCUUGGAAGGGAGAUCACUCCAAACACAGCAGGUGGAGUUCUGAUGGCUGCAUAUCAAGCCAAUGUCAUGUUAAAGGUUUACACCUGUUAAUAACUCUCUCACUUUUCUGUUGUGCUAGACCUGAACAUUAUACUUGAAAUAGCCACUGAAGUUUUAAAAACAAACAGAGACUUUUUGAAAUUAGUUACAGCUUCAAAAGCUAGCUUUCAUUCUCACAUCAGGAGCUUUCCCCCAGUGAACGAAGAACAUUCUUUUGGUUUUUAGUACGAAUGGCUGUGUCAUAUACAUCUGAAGUCUGUUAGUUGAUGUAUUAAAGAAUUAGUGAACUAAAUUUGGAAUGUAGUUAAUGGUAAAAAUAUGUAAGAAUUAACUUUACAUUUGUUGAGAAAGGUGUUAUUACUACACAAUGACUGUUAGGGUAGAAGCAUAUCAUUAACAAAUUUCUGAAGGAUAGGUUAUGAACUAAUGAACCUGCUGAAAGUUAGAAGUGGAAAAAAAAGAAAGAAGCAAUAAUCAAAGCUGUAUGAUAUGGAUUAGGUUUGAAUGCAGAAGGCUUUCAAAUCUAUAGGAUUGUAGGAAAAAUUCUUUUAUUAAAAUUUGUGUUGCAGAUUUUAAAAAAGUAUUUGAAGGUUAGUAAAGAAAUAUUAAAAUUUAAAGCGAAACAGUAGGAUUUAAAAUGGGUCAGGAGAUAAAGGGGUAUAUUUUGAAUUAUCCUUUUUUUUUGAGGUUGUGUUUUUCAAAUAAAAAAGUGUUUGGGUGUACUUUAAAUGAAAAAUAUAUUUGAUUAAGCUCAGAAGCUUAUUUUGCUCAUUUGCACAUUUCUUACUCAGAUGGUUGAAGUUGCUAGAAAUGUGACUGAAGUAAGAGAAUGGCCAUGGGAGGAAAAUGAAAAAUGAAAUAUGUUACCAUUUCUUUUCUACAAAUGUUUGUUAAUAAAAUUUAUAAAAACCCAAUAAAUAUUAUAUAGAUGGCUUUUAACUAUUAUUUAAAUUUAAUUUAGAUUUAAAUUUUACUAUUCUAUCCAGUGAUUUUGAAGACCUUACUCUAAGGUGGAGAUCUCAGCCAUCAUUGUGCUUUUUAGUACUGAAAGAUUUUCUGCCUCUUUGUCUCUCUGCCUCAUAUUCUUGUUUGAAAAAAAAAUACAUUUUUUUCUCUCUCAUCAUAGUAUAGAGAAAACAUGAACUACUUACUGAUUGGGUUAGAAGUGAGUAAAAUCUUGAUUUUGUAUCUUCAAAACUGGUGACCCUGAGUAGAUUAUUUUCUUGGGCUCAGUUUUUUCAUCUGUAAAAUGAAUGUUUUCUGUUAACUGAUCUUAGAAGGCUUUUGUAGGUUUGUGACUUUGUUUUUGUUGAUAAAAAUAUCUUUAUAAACUUUUUGAAAUUAACCUUUUUGUGUGCAAAUUUUUGAUUUUUCAAGUUCAUGAAGAAUGCAAUAUUUAAUUAUCUAGUAUAGCAUUUUGUAAUAAAUCAACAUAUCCCUAAUUUACAUCUUUCUUUUAAAAGUCCAUAUCAGUAUUUGUAUUUUUCUGUGUACUUUUAAAUCUGGAAUGUAAUGUGAGUAUUGUUGUUAGUUUCCUAUUCUGAACUUUUUAGCACAACAGUUCUUUGCUCCUACUUUUUAUUUCUAUAGUAGUUAUUUCCUAUGCCAGAUUAAAAAAAAAGAAAAGAAAAUUGUGUGGGUGGAAAAGGUAAAAGGGAGUAAGAGGUACAAACUUCCCAGAUAUAAAAUAACUCACAGGGCCUGUAAUGUACAGCAUAGGGAAUAUAGUCAAUAGUAUCUUAAUAACCUUCGUGUGGUGACAGAUGCUUACUAGAUUUAUAUCAAUGAUCAUUUUGCAAGGUAUGUAAAUGUUAAUAACUUGUAUUCAGUGUAAUAUUGUAUGUUAACUAUAGUUUAAUUUUUUUCAGGAAAGUUUAAUUGUGGUAUAAACUCACUUUUCAUGUUUAGGAAGAUAUUAGCCUUUGUAGUAGAAACAUAGUUUUUCAGCCAGGGUGUGUGUGUGUGUGUGUAUCAAUCUUUUAAGAAAUAGCCAAAACGUAGCAGAAUCUAGGUAUUGAGAAACUAAUUUGAAAAAAAUUAAAAUUAAUUAGAAUGUGAAAGGGUGGGCACUUUAUAUCUAUCAGUGUUGAUUACAACAAUUAAUAAUGCUUGCUAGGAACCCAAAUGUAAGAAAAUAACAUUUAUUAGAUGCAUUUCUUAUGAUUUUAUUAUUGUUGGCUUCUACCUGUUUUAACAGCAGAUGUGUUUUUAGAGACAAUUAUGGGAUUUGACCUAUUUUACUAGCAUUAUGUUUAUUUUUAAAAAGAGGUUAAAGAAAGUUAAGUAUUAAAUACAUCUAUUACCAUAUUUACUCACAUUAUAUACAGUUACCAGACUUCAGAAAUAUUAUGUAAUUCCUGUAUUCUUAGUGUACCGGAAAGAGCAUGAAUACACAUUGUAACUAAAGCAUUUAAAUAUAUUAAAAGAGAAUAUACUAAUUUACAUACUUGAAACUAGAAUAACUAUCACAAGUUGUGAUCUGGCUAGUCUCAAAGGAUGAGGUUGUAUAAUUAGAUCUAAAACAAAACAAAAACAAAGGUAGUGUAUUCUCACCUGGAAAAUAGACAAGAAUUGGGCAGUACUAACUUAGUUUCCUUCUGCCCAGACUGACUCCUAUAUAAUGAGGGGAAUAGAUGAAUUUGAAGGAUAGUGUUUUUCCUUCCUGUCUUGGUGUUAAGUCUUUUUAUCUGCUCUGGAAAAUCUAGGUUAGUUGUUUGAGAUGUUAAUAGGAUCUCUGCUUGAAUAAGUGAAUUUAACAGGGUUCUGUUCCAUUUAUUUCCAUAUAUACCACAAUUUUUUUUUUACUUGAUGUCUUUUGUGUAGUAGGUACUCAGUAUACAUAUUUGUUGAAUGAGUGAGUGAAUGAUUAUAGUUAAACUCAAUUAACUGUUACAAAUCCUGUAAGGAUUAUUAUUUUUAAGAGAGGAAUUAUAGAUCUUUCUGUAAGCAGCCUGAUGUGACCUCUGAAAAUGGUUCUUUAUUCAGUUGACCCAGAAAAGCUCACAAAAUCAUGCAAACGAAGAGGUUUAAAUCUUUGUGUUCACUUUAAGAACACUCCUGAAACUAACUGCCCAGGCCAUCAAGGGUGUACAUAUUGGUGGAGUUGGUAGGUGUGCCCAGGCCAGAUAGUGGGCCUGGAUGCAGGGUCAGAGGCCCAAAGAGUGCUGAUGUUUUUGCUGCACAUACUUAAAAAUGCAGAGGGUAAUGUUGAACUUAAAAGUUUAGAUGUAGAUUCUCUGGUCAUUGGGCACAUCCAGGUGAACAAAGCUCUCAAGAUGUGGCACAGAAUUUAGAGCUUAUGGGUACAUUAAUCUAUACCAUGAGCUCUGCCUGACACAUGGAGAGGAUCCAACUGAAAAAGAGCAGAUCGUUUAUAAACCAGAAGAGGAGGUUGUACAGAAGUAAAAGAUAUCCCAGAAGAAACUGAAGAAACAAAAACUUAUGGCCUGGUAGUAAAUUCCUCAUCAGAUGAAUGCUAAUAAGAGGGGCUGGAGAGAGACAGAGAGACUGAGAUUCAGAUUGAUUACAUAGGUAUCCAUCAACAGUACUGAAGAAAAAUUAAAAAAGUAGUCUCUAGUGGCAGUGAGAUAGUAUGUUAAGGAUCCAUAUGCCAUUACAUAGAAGCUCUUCUGAUCAACCUCUACUUAAUUUACAUAGAUUAUCUCAUACUUUUUAUUCCAUCAGUAAGACAUUCUGGUUUUAACCCCACGUGUCAACAUGGUUAGUAAGCUACUCUCUGACAUACUCCUAUGCAGUUUAAGAUGUAAAUUGGGUCUGUCCCUUACAAGACUUCUGAUAAGGUUGCUGACCUGUUAUUGUUAAUUAUAAGAUUACAUAUUUCAUAGGCCAAUGAAAUGCUAGUUUGAAGAAUUACUUCAUGAAAACUGUUAAAUGCUUUGAAAGAGUUGAUAAAACUGAGUUGUUAGAAACUGCAGUGAAAUUGGUGGAUAUACAACUAAAAACUUGGGGCAAAUUUAUAAAAACCUGGAAGAAGCUUUUAUUCAGAUUGCUUCUCUAUUGCCCUUAAGUAUUCAUUUCAUUUAAAAGAUAUUGAAAUGCACUAAUGAUGUAUUAGGAGAGUUGAUUAUACAAGAAAAUUGACAAAAAGUUAUACGCAAAGAAACCAUAAAAACUGGUGAGUGAGACAGUGUGUAUUAAAAAAAUUAAAAUGUGUGUCAGUAUUCAUAAAUUCUUCAUUUAAUAGACUAAUUCUUUGUGAAGUUCACAUUACGAGGGAUUCUACUAUAAAUUUACAUUAAACAAGUCAUUCUCAUGAGGUUUGUUCAUAUACUCAUCUAUAGGAUUAAAGAACUACUCUUAGAUAUUUUUAAACCAAAAUUCAGUAUAUAUAAACAUUAGUUUUUAGGUUGUAGCAGUUUGCUUUACAGUAUUCCUCCUAAUCCACAGGAGAUACAUUCCAAGACCCCAAAUGGAUGUCUAACACUGUGUAUAGAAUCAUAUAUAUACAUACUCAAAGUUUAAUUUAUAAAUUAGGCAAUUUCAUGGAUAGAAUAUUCAUUCUUUCUGUAGAUUUUAGCAAUCUUAGCACAUGACUUUUUUGUAAGUCAAGAACUUUGACCUUUUCACUUAAAGGAGGCACUUUACAGUUAUUUGGCAUAUCUGAAUUGCCAGCAUCACUAAUCUUGUGCUUUACGGCUAUUAUUAAGCAAAAGGGGUACUUGAACACAAACGUUGCAAAUUGUAAUACCUCCAGCGUCAACUUGAUAAACUAGAAGGCUACUAAAUAACUAAUGGGCAGAUAGUCUGUGCUCUGGACAAAGGGAUGUUUAACUCCCUGGCUGGAGAGAGUGGGACACUUCAUCACACUGCUCAGAAGGGCAUGUAAUUGAACAGUUAUGAGUAGUUUAUUUCUGAAAUUUUCCAUUUAAUAUUUUUGGACUGCAGUUGACUGUGGGUAACUAAAACCUUGGAAAAUGAACUGUUGGCAAGAUGGACUACUAUAGCUGACAUUAUCUAAUGUAUUUUAACCUUUCAAGUAAAUUAACCAGUAUUUAGCUCAUUUAUUUACACAUUCCUUAGCAAUUAAUUCACUGUAAGUGUAUUUUGUGCUGGUACUUGAAAUGGAUUGGUAAAAUACAAAAAAAAUCUCUUCUUCAUGGGGCUUACAUUCCUCUGUGUGUGUGUGUGAGAGAGAGAGAGAGAGAAAGGGAGGGGGAGAGAGGGAGGGAGGGAGAGAGAACAAAUAAAUAUGUUAGAUAAGUGCUCUGGAGCAAAAGCAGGGAAGAUAUGGAUAGGGACCCCCCAUUUUAUUAUGUGGACAUAAUGAGCCUUCUUAUUACUUGUGAGGCCCCCAAAAGAUAAUUCAGAUAUACUUAUCAAAUUAAUUUAAAAUAUAUUUUAAUAGGAGUUUAUUAAAUAUUGUGAUGUAUGAGAAAGUUUAAAAAUAACCUUGAAAUUCUAUAUAAACCUUUUUUUAGGUUGCAGCUCCCCUCAGUGGUUAAUGAUGAAAUUGACUCUUGCCUGUAGCAAUAGGUCUAUUAUUGUAGCAAUAACAUAUUACAAAUGAUGUAUGUACUCUGCUUUAUAUUUUAAAUGUG